Molecule: ribosomal RNA, 370 nt
Filed under: uncultured bacterium
Lineage: Bacteria
Description: bacterial SSU rRNA
Rfam family: Bacterial small subunit ribosomal RNA
Source: RNAcentral
GGGCCCGCACAAGCGGUGGAGCAUGUGGUUUAAUUCGAUGAUACGCGAGGAACCUUACCAGGACUUAAAUGUAAGUUGCAUGAUUCAGAAAUGAAUCUUUCUUCGGACUACUUACAAGGUGCUGCAUGGUUGUCGUCAGCUCGUGCCGUGAGGUGUCAGGUUAAGUCCUAUAACGAGCGCAACCCCCUAUCGUUAGUUGCCAUCAAGUAAAGUUGGGAACUCUAGCGAAACUGCCGGUGCAAACCGAGAGGAAGGUGGGGAUGACGUCAAAUCAUCACGGCCCUUACGUUCUGGGCUACACACGUGCUACAAUGGUCGGUACAGAAAGCAGCCACUAUGCGAAUAGGAGCGAAUCUUCAAAGCCGAUCAC